AUCCAUAGUCUUAAUAUCCUAAGGGCACCUGACAUCAUUUUAUCCUGGAUGCUAAGCAGGAUCAUCCCUGUUUAGUAUUAGGAGAGGAGACCACCAAAAAUACCAGGUACUGUAGGGA
RNAcentral lists this ribosomal RNA (118 nucleotides) under Anolis carolinensis (green anole). The record is from RNAcentral. Lineage: Eukaryota; Metazoa; Chordata; Lepidosauria; Squamata; Anolidae.